CCCCCUACCCUUCUUAACACACACUGCUCCCCAUACACACACACUCUACACACACACACACACACUACCCCCAUACACACACAUCGCCCACACACACAUACACUGCAAUACUCACACACACACUGCAACUGUUACACACACAUACUGUCCCACACAUACACUGCAUCCCUGACAUACACUGCCGCCCUCACUCACACACACACUGCUAACACACUGUCCCCCUCACACACACACUACAACCUUCACACACACAUACACUGCCCCCCUCACACACACACACACACUCUGCAUCCUUUACACAUUGCACCACUCACACACACCACAGCUCCUAUGCCCUACUACAGCCCCAUUUCCCAGCAGACCUCAGGUAAGUUGUCAAACUGUUCUUAAACGGUUUGACUACUUACUCUGGGAGGGGAUCCAGGCACUGUUGACACCAUAACCACUACACUGAGCUGUAGUGGUUA
This is a non-coding RNA of Pelobates cultripes (western spadefoot toad), 467 nucleotides long. NCBI's taxonomy places the organism in Eukaryota, Metazoa, Chordata, Amphibia, Anura, Pelobatidae. The record is from the annotation of a GenBank genome assembly.